CCUACGGGUGGCAGCAGUGAGGAAUAUUGGUCAAUGGACGAGAGUCUGAACCAGCCAAGUAGCGUGAAGGAUGACUGCCCUAUGUGUUGUAAACUUCUUUUAUAUGGGAAUAAAAUGUUCCACGUGUGGGAUUUUGUAUGUACCAUAUGAAUAAGGAUCGGCUAACUCCGUGCCAGCAGCCGCGGUAAUACGGAGGAUCCGAGCGUUAUCCGGAUUUAUUGGGUUUAAAGGGAGCGUAGGUGGAAUGUUAAGUCUGUUGUGAAAGUUUGCGGCUCAACCGUAAAAUUGCAGUUGAAACUGGCAGUCUUGAGUACAGUAGAGGUGAGCGGAAUUCGUGGUGUAGCGGUGAAAUGCUUAGAUAUCACGAAGAACUCCGAUUGCGAAGGCAGCUCACUGGACUGCAACUGACACUGAGGCUCGAAAGUGUGGGUAGCAAACAGGAUUAGAUACCCCAGUAGUC
This 460-nucleotide ribosomal RNA is filed under the name uncultured bacterium. RNAcentral describes it as "partial 16S ribosomal RNA". It matches the Rfam family "Bacterial small subunit ribosomal RNA", at positions 338 to 795 of the family's 1533-position model. The record is from RNAcentral.